GCUUGCUCUUUCCGGAAUUGAGUGGCAAACGGGUGAGUAACACGUAAACAACCUGCCUUCAGGAUGGGGACAACAGACGGAAACGACUGCUAAUACCGAAUAAGUUCCAAGAGCCGCAUGGCCCAUGGAAGAAAAGGUGGCCUCUACCCGUAAGCUAUCGCCUGAGGAGGGGUUUGCGUCUGAUUAGCUGGUUGGAGGGGUAACGGCCCACCAAGGCGACGAUCAGUAGCCGGUCUGAGAGGAUGAACGGCCACACUGGAACUGAGACACGGUCCAGACUCCUACGGGAGGCAGCAGUGGGGAAUCUUCCGCAAUGGGCGAAAGCCUGACGGAGCAACGCCGCGUGAGUGAUGACGGCCUUCGGGUUGUAAAACUCUGUGAUCCGGGACGAAAAGGCAGAGUGCGAAGAACAAACUGCAUUGACGGUACCGGAAAAGCAAGCCACGGCUAACUACGUGCCAGCAGCCGCGGUAAUACGUAGGUGGCAAGCGUUGUCCGGAAUUAUUGGGCGUAAAGCGCGCGCAGGCGGCUUCCCAAGUCCCUCUUAAAAGUGCGGGGCUUAACCCCGUGAUGGGAAGGAAACUGGGAAGCUGGAGUAUCGGAGAGGAAAGUGGAAUUCCUAGUGUAGCGGUGAAAUGCGUAGAGAUUAGGAAGAACACCGGUGGC
This 666-nucleotide ribosomal RNA is filed under the name uncultured Peptococcaceae bacterium. RNAcentral's name for it is "bacterial SSU rRNA". It matches the Rfam family "Bacterial small subunit ribosomal RNA", at positions 78 to 716 of the family's 1533-position model. The record is from RNAcentral. Lineage: Bacteria; Bacillati; Bacillota; Clostridia; Eubacteriales; Peptococcaceae.